RNAcentral lists this transfer RNA (74 nucleotides) under Propionibacteriaceae bacterium. Its description in RNAcentral is "tRNA-Ile". It matches the Rfam family "tRNA". From Rfam's summary of the family: Transfer RNA (tRNA) molecules are approximately 80 nucleotides in length. Lineage: Bacteria; Bacillati; Actinomycetota; Actinomycetes; Propionibacteriales; Propionibacteriaceae. The record is from RNAcentral.
GGGGCGAUAGCUCAGCCGGUCAGAGCAGAGGACUCAUAAUCCUCCGGUCGUGGGUUCGAGCCCCACUCGCCCCA